This 305-nucleotide ribosomal RNA is filed under the name uncultured bacterium. RNAcentral's name for it is "partial 16S ribosomal RNA". It matches the Rfam family "Bacterial small subunit ribosomal RNA", at positions 508 to 807 of the family's 1533-position model. The record is from RNAcentral.
ACAGCAGUCGCCGCGGUAAUACGAAGGGGGCUAGCGUUGCUCGGAAUGACUGGGCGUAAAGGGCGCGUAGGCGGAUGAUUUAGUUAGGUGUGAAAUUCCUGGGCUUAACCUGGGGACUGCACUUAAUACAGGUCGUCUAGAGUGGGAUAGAGGGUUGUGGAAUUCCCAGUGUAGAGGUGAAAUUCGUAGAUAUUGGGAAGAACACCGGUGGCGAAGGCGGCGACCUGGUCCUUGACUGACGCUGAGGCGCGAAAGCGUGGGGAGCAAACAGGAUUAGAUACCCCUGUAGUCCCUGUCUCUUAUAC